UCCCCGUCCUUGAAGCGG
This 18-nucleotide unclassified non-coding RNA is filed under the name Chlamydomonas reinhardtii. RNAcentral describes it as "small RNA Cre_2564". The record is from RNAcentral. Lineage: Eukaryota; Viridiplantae; Chlorophyta; Chlorophyceae; Chlamydomonadales; Chlamydomonadaceae.